RNAcentral lists this ribosomal RNA (653 nucleotides) under uncultured cyanobacterium. RNAcentral describes it as "bacterial SSU rRNA". It matches the Rfam family "Bacterial small subunit ribosomal RNA", at positions 118 to 804 of the family's 1533-position model. The record is from RNAcentral. Lineage: Bacteria; Bacillati; Cyanobacteriota.
UGAGAACCUGCCUUAAGGUCGGGGAUAACAGUUGGAAACGACUGCUAAUACCGGAUGUGCCUACGGGUGAAAGAUUUAUUGCCUAAAGAUGGGCUCGCGUCUGAUUAGCUAGUUGGAGUGGUAAUGGCACACCAAGGCGACGAUCAGUAGCUGGUCUGAGAGGAUGAUCAGCCACACUGGGACUGAGACACGGCCCAGACUCCUACGGGAGGCAGCAGUGGGGAAUUUUCCGCAAUGGGCGAAAGCCUGACGGAGCAAGACCGCGUGAGGGAGGAAGGCUCUUGGGUUGUAAACCUCUUUUGUCAGGGAAGAACACAAUGACGGUACCUGACGAAUCAGCAUCGGCUAACUCCGUGCCAGCAGCCGCGGUAAUACGGAGGAUGCAAGCGUUAUCCGGAAUUAUUGGGCGUAAAGCGUCCGCAGGUGGUUGUACAAGUCUGCUGUCAAAGCGCGGAGCUUAACUCCGUAAAGGCGGUGGAAACUGUGCGACUAGAGUUCGGUAGGGGUCGCGGGAAUUCCCAGUGUAGCGGUGAAAUGCGUAGAUAUUGGGAAGAACACCGGUGGCGAAAGCGCGCGACUGGACCGAGACUGACACUCAUGGACGAAAGCUAGGGGAGCGAAAGGGAUUAGAUACCCCUGUAGUCCUAGCCGUA